This 400-nucleotide ribosomal RNA is filed under the name uncultured bacterium. RNAcentral describes it as "bacterial SSU rRNA". It matches the Rfam family "Bacterial small subunit ribosomal RNA", at positions 30 to 416 of the family's 1533-position model. The record is from RNAcentral.
AGUGAACGCUGGCGGCAGGCCUAACACAUGCAAGUCGAGCGGCAGCGCGUCCGACCACCCUCGGGUGGUCGGAUGGCGGCGAGCGGCGGACGGGUGAGGAAUGCAUCGGAAUCUGCCUCGUUGUGGGGGAUAACGUAGGGAAACUUACGCUAAUACCGCAUACGACCUACGGGUGAAAGUGGGGGACCUUCGGGCCUCACGCGAUGAGAUGAGCCGAUGCCGGAUUAGCUAGUUGGCGGGGUAAAGGCCCACCAAGGCGACGAUCCGUAGCUGGUCUGAGAGGAUGAUCAGCCACACUGGAACUGAGACACGGUCCAGACUCCUACGGGAGGCAGCAGUGGGGAAUAUUGGACAAUGGGGGCAACCCUGAUCCAGCCAUGCCGCGUGUGGGAAGAAGGCC